GAUGAAGAACGUAGCGAAAUGCGAUAAGUAAUGUGAAUUGCAGAAUUCAGUGAAUCAUCGAAUCUUUGAACCCACAUUGCGCCCGCCAGUAUUCUGGCGGGCAUGCCUGUUCGAGCGUCAUUUCAACCCUCAGGCCCCCAGUGCCUGGUGUUGGGGAUCGGCCCAGCCUUCCUGUAAGGCCGCCGGCCCCGAAAUCUAGUGGCGGUCUCGCUGUAGUCCUCCUCUGCGUAGUAGCACAACCUCGCAGUUGGAACGCGGCGGUGGCCAUGCCGUUAAACACCCCACUUCUGAAAGUUGACCUCGGAUCAGGUAGGAAUACCCGCUGAACUUAAGCAUAUCAAUAAGCGGAGGA
Molecule: unclassified non-coding RNA, 352 nt
Filed under: soil metagenome
Description: partial contains 5.8S ribosomal RNA, internal transcribed spacer 2, and large subunit ribosomal RNA
Rfam family: 5.8S ribosomal RNA (bases 1-120)
Source: RNAcentral